This 74-nucleotide transfer RNA is filed under the name Alphaproteobacteria bacterium 40-19. Its description in RNAcentral is "tRNA-Arg". It matches the Rfam family "tRNA". Rfam says of the family: Transfer RNA (tRNA) molecules are approximately 80 nucleotides in length. Their secondary structure includes four short double-helical elements and three loops (D, anti-codon, and T loops). Lineage: Bacteria; Pseudomonadati; Pseudomonadota; Alphaproteobacteria. The record is from RNAcentral.
GCGCCCGUAGCUCAGAUGGAUAGAGCACAGGAUUCCUAAUCCUGGUGUCGUGAGUUCGAAUCUCGCCGGGCGCA